AGAGUUGAUUAUGGCUCAGGACGAACGCUGGCGGCGUGCCUAACACAUGCAAGUCGAACGGAGUAAGAAUUCGGUUUUACUUAGUGGCGAACGGGUGAGUAACGCGUGAACAACCUGCCUUUCUGAGGGGGAUAACACCUGGAAACAAGUGCUAAUACCGCAUAAGACCACAGAGCCGCAUGGCCCAGGGGUCAAAGGAGAGAUCCGCAGGAAGAGGGGUUCGCGUCCCAUUAGCUAGUUGGCGGGGCAACGGCCCACCAAGGCGACGAUGGGUAGCCGAGCUGAGAGGCUGAUCGGCCACACUGGAACUGAGACACGGUCCAGACUCCUACGGGAGGCAGCAGUGGGGAAUAUUGGGCAAUGGGCGCAAGCCUGACCCAGCAACGCCGCGUGAGGGAAGAAGGUCUUCGGAUUGUAAACCUCUGUCCUAUGUGACGAAGGAAGUGACGGUAGCAUAGGAGGAAGCCCCGGCUAACUACGUGCCAGCCGCAGC
This 493-nucleotide ribosomal RNA is filed under the name uncultured bacterium. RNAcentral's name for it is "bacterial SSU rRNA". It matches the Rfam family "Bacterial small subunit ribosomal RNA", at positions 8 to 518 of the family's 1533-position model. The record is from RNAcentral.